ACGGCUCAGUGGAAGAGCCUCUGCUUGGCAUGCAGAAGGGUCCAGGUUCAAUCCCCAACAUCUCUG
RNAcentral lists this transfer RNA (66 nucleotides) under Sphaerodactylus townsendi. RNAcentral's name for it is "tRNA-Ala". Lineage: Eukaryota; Metazoa; Chordata; Lepidosauria; Squamata; Sphaerodactylidae. The record is from RNAcentral.